Molecule: ribosomal RNA, 566 nt
Filed under: uncultured bacterium
Lineage: Bacteria
Description: bacterial SSU rRNA
Rfam family: Bacterial small subunit ribosomal RNA
Source: RNAcentral
UCCUACGGGAGGCAGCAGUAGGGAAUCUUCCGCAAUGGACGAAAGUCUGACGGAGCAACGCCGCGUGAGGGAUGAAGGCCUCUGGGCUGUAAACCUCUUUUAUCAAGGAAGAAGAUCUGACGGUACUUGAUGAAUAAGCCACGGCUAAUUCCGUGCCAGCAGCCGCGGUAAUACGGGAGUGGCAAGCGUUAUCCGGAAUUAUUGGGCGUAAAGCGUCCGCAGGCGGUCUGUCAAGUCUGCUGUUAAAGCGUGGAGCUUAACUCCAUUUCGGCAGUGGAAACUGACAGACUAGAGCGUGGUAGGGGCAGAGGGAAUUCCCGGUGUAGCGGUGAAAUGCGUAGAUAUCGGGAAGAACACCAGUGGCGAAGGCGCUCUGCUGGGCCAUAACUGACGCUCAUGGACGAAAGCCAGGGGAGCGAAAGGGAUUAGAUACCCCUGUGGUCCUGGCCGUAAACGAUGAACACUAGGUGUCGGGGGAAUCGACCCCCUCGGUGUCGUAGCCAACGCGUUAAGUGUUCCGCCUGGGGAGUACGCACGCAAGUGUGAAACUCAAAGGAAUUGACGGA